This 570-nucleotide long non-coding RNA is filed under the name Papio anubis (olive baboon). RNAcentral's name for it is "lncRNA (ENSPANG00000044309.1)". Lineage: Eukaryota; Metazoa; Chordata; Mammalia; Primates; Cercopithecidae. The record is from RNAcentral.
AUGCCAUGCCUCACUCCAGUGAAGGACGGACUCCUGUUCUGUCUCCUAAAACCCACACAGCUCGCCUGGAGCUUCAAACGUGAGAACACAUUCCAGUUGCAGGAUCAGAGGACUUUUCCUACAGCACGACCUCUGAUCCCUGAAGGGAGGACCCAGAGUCACCAGCCUGCCAAGAAGCACCGAGCAUCUGCUCUGGAGAAGGGAGUUAGGAAGGAAACGUGUGAACCACGCAGCCAGACCGGUCUCCAGAUGGCGAGACCUCUGAGGAAUUCAUCUGUGGUCAAUGUGAGCACAUCCUCCAAUAAUUGGUUUCAAGAGAUGGAACUCCCACUUGCUGUCUGGUGGCAGACACUGUCUCAGGAGGAAUGGUUUGGGGCACAGGGUAGCAAAUGGUGCAGUGUCUUUUUUUGCAUCUUAACAUGGGCUCUUGUCUUGGACACCCUAGUGGUGACUGCAAAACAGCAGGAUGGUCGCACCAUGGCGUUUGGAGUCAUACCAACUUGGGUUAGAAAUUCUGUUCGUCUUUUGAUUGCAGUUGAUAAUACCUGCUUCAGAGAGUUGUUGGGAUGA